GGAUAUAGCUCAGUUGGUAGAGUGCUUGCCUCACAUGCACAAGACCCUGGGUUCAAAUCCCAGCACCA
Molecule: transfer RNA, 68 nt
Filed under: Marmota monax (woodchuck)
Lineage: Eukaryota; Metazoa; Chordata; Mammalia; Rodentia; Sciuridae
Description: tRNA.Val
Rfam family: tRNA (bases 6-63)
About the family: Transfer RNA (tRNA) molecules are approximately 80 nucleotides in length. Their secondary structure includes four short double-helical elements and three loops (D, anti-codon, and T loops).
Source: RNAcentral